GGGGUGGGGGACGUUUGCCGGUCACUGCUGCUGGCGCCCUGACUGUUGCCGUCCUCCAGCCCCACUCAAAGGCAUCCC
Molecule: microRNA precursor, 78 nt
Filed under: Gorilla gorilla gorilla (western lowland gorilla)
Lineage: Eukaryota; Metazoa; Chordata; Mammalia; Primates; Hominidae
Description: miRNA (ENSGGOG00000030209.2)
Source: RNAcentral